RNAcentral lists this ribosomal RNA (240 nucleotides) under uncultured Lactobacillus sp. RNAcentral describes it as "partial 16S ribosomal RNA". It matches the Rfam family "Bacterial small subunit ribosomal RNA", at positions 122 to 355 of the family's 1533-position model. The record is from RNAcentral. Lineage: Bacteria; Bacillati; Bacillota; Bacilli; Lactobacillales; Lactobacillaceae.
UAACCUGCCCAAGAGAUCGGGAUAACACCUGGAAACAGAUGCUAAUACCGGAUAACAACAGAUGAUGCCUAUCAACUGUUUAAAAGAUGGUUCUGCUAUCACUCUUGGAUGGACCUGCGGUGCAUUAGCUAGUUGGUAGGGUAACGGCCUACCAAGGCGAUGAUGCAUAGCCAAGUUGAGAGACUGAUCGGCCACAUUGGGACUGAGACACGGCCCAAACUCCUACGGGAGGCAGCAGUC